UCUAAAGCUGCUGCUGAAUGAGUCCUGCAAGCUUAUGAUUGUGCUUGGUUUGGUAAAAACAAAGUCCAAAUGAUUUUCAGAUCAGAACCCAUUUUCUGAUCCAUUUAGUGAAAAAGCCCAUUGACAAUACCGAGUUUGUCAGCUCAGCCUCCAAAGAAAAAAAAAAAAAACCAUUGAUUAAACCCUAAACCCUCGUCUGAUGCCGUUUCCAGAAAUUCAACAUCCGAAGACGCAUCUUUUCAAUUUUUGUGUUGAUUUUAGGGUUUUUGUUUUUCCUUUCCUAUUACCUAACAUGGGUUGGAAUUUUUAUUGUCCUUUAAGAAUUUGGGGUAUUGGAAACAUCGGGUUAUCAUCGAAGCGUUCAAGAAAAGCUAGAGGCAAAGAUGUGGACUUGGAGGACUUCGACGAUUCGGAAGAUGAGAUUGAGGAAUUAAUGGUUAAUGGUGAAGAAGAAGAAGACGAUGAAGAAGACAUUGAUGAUACUGCUUUCAGAGAAAAAGCAGUUGACGUAUGGCAGAGAAAGACAGAAGUCACAACUGGUUCUGCUGCAAUCAAAAGCCAAUUGCAAGCAUUUAAUCAGAAUAUUAGUGAACAAGUGGCUGCCAAUAUGAGGGAUCCAAGUAAAAUGGUAAAGCAAAUGCAACAAAGAAUAUGAACUAUUGGCAUAUUUGGGCCUGUUACCGAGGCCACUAACAAUGCUAAUGGAGAGGUAAAAAUUCAUGAAGGUAAGAGAAGUUGCUGAUGGUCAAGCUGUGAUGAGUGCUAGUCAGUAUCUAGCCAAAGUAAAAUAGCUGGUGGUUUGGAUAUUUGGUAUAAGAAUGCUGCUUUUGUUAUUAAUACAUGUUAUGCUGCUUUUCUCCUGUCAAAUAUUUUUAUAUUGAAUCCUUUCUUUGCUUAGGGGCACAUCCUGCAGGUGAUCCUGAACUUCUGGAUGAUUCCGAAUUUUUCCAGCAAUUGCUGAAGGAAUUUUUUUUUGAGACUGUUGACCCAACAUCAUAUAGUACAUCUUGUAAAAUUUUCUUGCAUGAUUGUGUUGAGAAUUAUUUUUCUUUUUUAAAAUCAUUUAUUACUGUUUGACCACAGAGAAAGCCUUCUAUGCCUUGAAAAGACUGCAAGCUAAGAAGAGAAAAAUAGUUGAUCAGCAUGCUUCAAAGAGACAAAAGAUAAGGUAAGUUCUCAAGUGUGUUUAGAUUAGCGCCUUGUAAUAUUUGAGUUCACGUUAAUCUAGUGCAUUUCUUCAUGUCAAAAUUUCCUGUUUAAUAACAUUCUUAUUGGUACUAUGUUCAUAUGAAGAUUGUCAAUUUCAUGGCUCCUGAACCCAUGAACCUUCCUGCCACGGCUCCAAAAUUGUUUGAGAAUUUAUUUGGAUUGAAAACCCAAUAACCUACUGCUGAAGUCUGAAUUUUUUACCUUUGAAAUUUUGUAAUAUUACCCAAUAACCCAAUAACAUGUGUUUUAUUCUGAUGUAUAAUUACCAACACAGGAAAAAAAAAAAGAAAAAUUUAGAAGAGUUAUAUUUGAUAUACUAUUAAUGUAUGAAUUUUAUAUACAGUGAAUUAGAUAAUGUUAUUUCA
Molecule: non-coding RNA, 1574 nt
Organism: Durio zibethinus
Lineage: Eukaryota; Viridiplantae; Streptophyta; Magnoliopsida; Malvales; Malvaceae
Source: RefSeq, a predicted model, not a curated record